This 378-nucleotide ribosomal RNA is filed under the name uncultured eukaryote. RNAcentral describes it as "partial 18S ribosomal RNA". It matches the Rfam family "Eukaryotic small subunit ribosomal RNA", at positions 592 to 976 of the family's 1831-position model. The record is from RNAcentral.
CAAUAGCGUAUAUUUAAGUUGUUGCAGUUAAAACGCUCGUAGUUGGAUUUCGGGUGGGACGCAGCGGUCUCGCAUUGCGUUUGUACUGCUGCAGCCCUCCUUCUUGCCGGGGGCGGCCUCUCGGACUUCACUGUCUGGGGGUCAGAAUCGGCGAUGUUACUUUGAGUAAAUUAGAGUGUUCAAAGCAAGCUUACGCUCUGAAUAUAAUAGCAUGGGAUAACACGACAGGACUCUGGCCUAUCGUGUUGGUCUAUAGGACCAGAGUAAUGAUUAAGAGGGACAGUCGGGGGCAUUCGUAUUCCGUUGUCAGAGGUGAAAUUCUUGGAUUUACGGAAGACGAACAUCUGCGAAAGCAUUUGCCAAGGAUGUUUUCAUUGA